Molecule: non-coding RNA, 45 nt
Organism: Schistosoma mansoni
Lineage: Eukaryota; Metazoa; Platyhelminthes; Trematoda; Strigeidida; Schistosomatidae
Source: Rfam
AUCCAUCUGACGAGUCCAAAAUAGGACGAAACGCGCGUCCUGGAU